Molecule: transfer RNA, 76 nt
Filed under: Acidobacteriota bacterium
Lineage: Bacteria; Pseudomonadati; Acidobacteriota
Description: Acidobacteria bacterium tRNA-Lys
Rfam family: tRNA
About the family: Transfer RNA (tRNA) molecules are approximately 80 nucleotides in length. Their secondary structure includes four short double-helical elements and three loops (D, anti-codon, and T loops).
Source: RNAcentral
AGGCCGCUAGCUCAACUGGCAGAUCAGCUGACUCUUGAUCAGCGGAUUCGGGGUCCGAGUCCCUGGCGGCUCACCA